RNAcentral lists this ribosomal RNA (245 nucleotides) under uncultured bacterium. RNAcentral's name for it is "partial 16S ribosomal RNA". It matches the Rfam family "Bacterial small subunit ribosomal RNA", at positions 524 to 768 of the family's 1533-position model. The record is from RNAcentral.
UACGAAGGCCACAAGCGUUAUCCGGAUUUAUUGGGCGUAAAGAGUGCGUAGGAGGUCUGACGCAUUUAUUGUUAAAUUUCAUCGCUUAACGGUGGAGCUGCAAUAAAGAUGGUUAGACUAGAGUGUGCGAGAGGCUAAUAGAACUCAUGGUGUAGGGGUGAAAUCCGUUGAUAUCAUGGGGAAUACCAAAGGCGAAGGCAUUUAGCUGGCGCAUUACUGACUCUGAGGCACGAAAGCGUGGGGAG